This 390-nucleotide ribosomal RNA is filed under the name uncultured bacterium. Its description in RNAcentral is "bacterial SSU rRNA". It matches the Rfam family "Bacterial small subunit ribosomal RNA", at positions 47 to 433 of the family's 1533-position model. The record is from RNAcentral.
CCUAACACAUGCAAGUCGAACGGUAACAGGAAACAGCUUGCUGUUUCGCUGACGAGUGGCGGACGGGUGAGUAAUGUCUGGGAAACUGCCUGAUGGAGGGGGAUAGCUACUGGAAACGGUAGCUAAUACCGCAUAACGUCGCAAGACCAAAGAGGGGGACCUUCGGGCCUCUUGCCAUCAGAUGUGCCCAGAUGGGAUUAGCUAGUAGGUGGGGUAACGGCUCACCUAGGCGACGAUCCCUAGCUGGUCUGAGAGGAUGACCAGCCACACUGGAACUGAGACACGGUCCAGACUCCUACGGGAGGCAGCAGUGGGGAAUAUUGCACAAUGGGCGCAAGCCUGAUGCAGCCAUGCCGCGUGUAUGAAGAAGGCCUUCGGGUUGUAUGAACC